This is a non-coding RNA of Pelobates cultripes (western spadefoot toad), 220 nucleotides long. Lineage: Eukaryota; Metazoa; Chordata; Amphibia; Anura; Pelobatidae. The record is from the annotation of a GenBank genome assembly.
GUUUGAGAAGCAGAUUCGGGACCAUUGGUAUCAGAUGCAAGAAAUCCAAUGACAUUUCCAGAAGUCGAGGGAACCAAGGUUGUAUCUGCCACAGUGGAGCAACCAUCACCAGAGAACAUUCAUGUCUGCACAGGUAAGAUUGCGUCUGAGAGAUGAGGUUGAACGGGGGAAAGGUGUAGUGUCGUGAGGGUGGCCACAUCUGUAGGAAGGCUCCCACUGC